This 1340-nucleotide ribosomal RNA is filed under the name uncultured bacterium. RNAcentral describes it as "partial 16S ribosomal RNA". It matches the Rfam family "Bacterial small subunit ribosomal RNA", at positions 32 to 1381 of the family's 1533-position model. The record is from RNAcentral.
GACGCAUUAAAGGCGGCGUGCUUACACAUGCAAGUCGAACGGUAACCCUCCAGAUUGCUGGGGUACACGAGUGGCGAACGGGUGAGUAACACGUGGGUGACCUGCCCUGCACUUCGGGAUAAGCCUGGGAAACUGGGUCUAAUACCGGAUAGGACCGCACCGUGAGGGUGUGGUGGAAAGUUUUUUCGGUGUGGGAUGGGCCCGCGGCCUAUCAGCUUGUUGGUGGGGUAAUGGCCUACCAAGGCGGCGACGGGUAGCCGGCCUGAGAGGGUGGACGGCCACAUUGGGACUGAGACACGGCCCAGACUCCUACGGGAGGCAGCAGUGGGGAAUAUUGCACAAUGGGCGGAAGCCUGAUGCAGCGACGCCGCGUGGGGGAUGACGGCCUUCGGGUUGUAAACUCCUUUCACCAUCGACGAAGGGUUUCUGACGGUAGAUGGAGAAGAAGCACCGGCUAACUACGUGCCAGCAGCCGCGGUAAUACGUAGGGUGCGAGCGUUGUCCGGAAUUACUGGGCGUAAAGAGCUCGUAGGUGGUUUGUCGCGUCGUCUGUGAAUUCCGGGGCUUAACUCCGGGCGUGCAGGCGAUACGGGCAUAACUUGAGUACUGUAGGGGAGACUGGAAUUCCUGGUGUAGCGGUGAAAUGCGCAGAUAUCAGGAGGAACACCGGUGGCGAAGGCGGGUCUCUGGGCAGUAACUGACGCUGAGGAGCGAAAGCAUGGGGAGCGAACAGGAUUAGAUACCCUGGUAGUCCAUGCCGCAAACGGUGGGCGCUAGGUGUGGGUUUCCUUCCACGGGAUCCGUGCCGUAGCUAACGCAUUAAGCGCCCCGCCUGGGGAGUACGGCCGCAAGGCUAAAACUCAAAGGAAUUGACGGGGGCCCGCACAAGCGGCGGAGCAUGUGGAUUAAUUCGAUGCAACGCGAAGAACCUUACCUGGGCUUGACAUAUACAGGAUCGCGCCAGAGAUGGUGUUUCCCUUGUGGCUUGUAUACAGGUGGUGCAUGGUUGUCGUCAGCUCGUGUCGUGAGAUGUUGGGUUAAGUCCCGCAACGAGCGCAACCCUUGUCUUAUGUUGCCAGCACGUUGUGGUGGGGACUCGUAAGAAACUGCCGGGGUUAACUCGGAGGAAGGUGGGGAUGACGUCAAAUCAUCAUGCCCCUUAUGUCCAGGGCUUCACACAUGCUACAAUGGUCGGUACAGUGGGUUGCCAGUCCGUGAGGGCGAGCUAAUCCCGCAAAGCCGGUCUCAGUUCGGAUCGGGGUCUGCAACUCGACCCCGUGAAGUCGGAGUCGCUAGUAAUCGCAGAUCAGCAACGCUGCGGUGAAUACGUUCCCGGGCCU